GGGAAAGMUUYMKCGGUAUGGGAUGGGGUCGCGUCCUAUCAGCUUGAYGGCGGGGUAACGGCCCACCRUGGCUUCGACGGGUAGCCGGCCUGAGAGGGCGACCGGCCACAUUGGGACUGAGAUACGGCCCAGACUCCUACGGGAGGCAGCAGUGGGGAAUAUUGCACAAUGGGCGCAAGCCUGAUGCAGCGACGCCGCGUGCGGGAUGACGGCCUUCGGGUUGUAAACCGCUUUUGACUGGGAGCAAGCCCUUCGGGGUGAGUGUACCUUUCGAAUAAGCACCGGCUAACUACGUGCCAGCAGCCGCGGUAAUACGUAGGGUGCAAGCGUUAUCCGGAAUUAUUGGGCGUAAAGGGCUCGUAGGCGGUUCGUCGCGUCCGGUGUGAAAGUCCAUCGCUUAACGGUGGAUCCGCGCCGGGUACGG
This 424-nucleotide ribosomal RNA is filed under the name uncultured Bifidobacterium sp. Its description in RNAcentral is "bacterial SSU rRNA". It matches the Rfam family "Bacterial small subunit ribosomal RNA", at positions 200 to 635 of the family's 1533-position model. Lineage: Bacteria; Bacillati; Actinomycetota; Actinomycetes; Bifidobacteriales; Bifidobacteriaceae. The record is from RNAcentral.